This 326-nucleotide long non-coding RNA is filed under the name Callithrix jacchus (white-tufted-ear marmoset). RNAcentral describes it as "lncRNA (ENSCJAG00000077806.1)". Lineage: Eukaryota; Metazoa; Chordata; Mammalia; Primates; Cebidae. The record is from RNAcentral.
CAUGUUCUCACUCACAGGAGGUGCCAAGAAGAAAAGGAGCAAUCUACCAUCUGCUAGGCCAUCUGUUUCAUAAGACCUAUUCCUUAUUUAGAGCCAUUGGGGUUUUCAUUUCUUUAAAAAAAUGAUCAGCAUCAUCAAAGACCCCAAAUAAGAGCAUAUGAUAAUGUUAUCUAAUAGGCAUCUAGGUUAGCAGCAGAUUCUAUUUUUCUCCAAGUUGUUUCCCAGUUGAAUCAUGUCCUUCACAAUGUAUGUAAUAUGGAAAGAACACAAUCUGUGAAUCAGAAGCCCUAAGUCUGAAUCCUAACUCUGCUUCCUACUAACUUAUC